GCUUCUUUUUAUGUCCUGUGUUGGUUGUUGUGGCGGUCAGUGAAAGGUUUUUUAUUAUUUUGUAUUAUUUUGUAGCUGGGCAUUCAGAGCUCAGCAUCACAAAGACAAAUGUGGAGUGACAAUGUGAAUUACAGACCAGAGACAUCUUCAUCAGCACCGUGUGUGCGCGCGUGUACCCGUCCCUGCAGCAGUAUAAUACAAUGAGCCAGAUUUGCCAUCCUAUCAAAGAUCUCAUCCAAAAAACAAUUAUUUCCUGUCACGGCCGUUCUCCCGCUCUGGCGCCUGAGGGUGCCAGACUGCCUUCAUUACGCACACCUGUCACCAUCGUUACACGCACCUGCACUUCAUCACCCGUCACCGUCACGUGCAGCAGCGCAUCAUUGGACUCACCUGGACUCCUUUAAUUUGUUAACUGCCCCACCUAUAUCUGUUUGUUGCUUUGGUUAGAUCCCUGUGUCAGCAUUGUUGUCAUUGUUUAUUCCUGUCCAGACGCUGUCCCGUUCCAUGUCCGAGGUUAAUUAAAUGUUCACUCCCUG
RNAcentral lists this long non-coding RNA (536 nucleotides) under Salmo salar (Atlantic salmon). RNAcentral describes it as "lncRNA (ENSSSAG00000088889.1)". Lineage: Eukaryota; Metazoa; Chordata; Actinopteri; Salmoniformes; Salmonidae. The record is from RNAcentral.